RNAcentral lists this transfer RNA (73 nucleotides) under Streptomyces sp. CB01881. It matches the Rfam family "tRNA". From Rfam's summary of the family: Transfer RNA (tRNA) molecules are approximately 80 nucleotides in length. Their secondary structure includes four short double-helical elements and three loops (D, anti-codon, and T loops). Further hydrogen bonds mediate the characteristic L-shaped molecular structure. tRNAs have two regions of fundamental functional importance: the anti-codon, which is responsible for specific mRNA codon recognition, and the 3' end, to which the tRNAs corresponding amino acid is attached (by aminoacyl-tRNA synthetases). tRNAs cope with the degeneracy of the genetic code in two manners: having more than one tRNA (with a specific anti-codon) for a particular amino acid; and 'wobble' base-pairing, i.e. permitting non-standard base-pairing at the 3rd anti-codon position. The record is from Rfam by way of RNAcentral. Lineage: Bacteria; Bacillati; Actinomycetota; Actinomycetes; Kitasatosporales; Streptomycetaceae.
GGGGCUGUAGCUCAGUUGGUAGAGCGCUUGCAUGGCAUGCAAGAGGUCCGGGGUUCAAUUCCCCGCAGCUCCA